This 232-nucleotide long non-coding RNA is filed under the name Mytilus galloprovincialis (Mediterranean mussel). The record is from RNAcentral. Lineage: Eukaryota; Metazoa; Mollusca; Bivalvia; Mytilida; Mytilidae.
AAAUUUAUACUAGAUACUCUGAAACUCACAUGACUCAUUUAGCCUAAGUUUGGCUGAAAUUGAUACAGCAGUUUCAAAGGAGAAGAUUUUUUAAAGUAAGUCUACAUGAUGAACAAAUUGUGAAAAAAGUCUUUAAAGGGCAAUAACUCCUUCAGGGGUCAAUUGACAAUUUUGGUCAAAUUGACUUAUUUGUUGAUCUUACUUUGCUUAACAUUUUUGCUAUAAACAGUUU